This is a long non-coding RNA of Vidua chalybeata, 322 nucleotides long. RefSeq lists it as uncharacterized. The transcript has 3 exons. The record is from RefSeq and is a predicted model, not a curated record. NCBI's taxonomy places the organism in Eukaryota, Metazoa, Chordata, Aves, Passeriformes, Viduidae.
CCACAGCCUGUCCUGUGGGCUGCAGAGCCACCACCAGCUGAGCCCUGCUGUGCCAAAACAUGAAAUAGAAGGGCCUUGGUGUCUUCAUGAGGGACAGUCUUGGAGCCCAGAGGGACAUACGGUGCUCAGGAUGCUGAAUCUGGUCUAGUGCCCAAGCCCAGCAAGCUGAGAGCAUUUGCUGGGCUGCUGAGUGAAAGCCCAGCAGGGGCUCCUGCAGCCUGUCAGGGCUGCUCCAUGCCCCCAGCACUGCACCUGCCUGGCCUGCUCAGGACACAGAGUAACUUUCCUCAGGAGCUCACGGUGAAAUCAGCAGCACACAUCA